RNA transcript from Pistacia vera, 2577 nucleotides. It is a transcript of the gene named TMV resistance protein N-like, with no coding region annotated. The transcript has 2 exons. Lineage: Eukaryota; Viridiplantae; Streptophyta; Magnoliopsida; Sapindales; Anacardiaceae. The record is from RefSeq and is a predicted model, not a curated record.
CUGCUGAUUUUUUGUUUCUCAUUUGACUUAUUUGAUUCUUUGUUUCAAUUAGCAUUAAUCAUUGGUUGACCUAUUUAAUAUUUGUUAAUUGUGUAUCACUCAACUGUCGUCCACAUGUGAUGAUAAAUAGAAAUAUUGGUAGACUUGAUAUAUGGAAAAUUAUUAUUUUGUAUUAAAACUAAGCCAUGUGUAGUCUUAGAUUAUUACUUUACACCGAGAAAAUCAUGUUGUCUGACAAAUAAAUGUCUUUUUGGUCUCUUUGGGAAAGGAAAAAAAAAAAAAAAACAAUAAGAACCAAUAAUAUGAAGUUAAAACAAGUGAUAAGCUCUUUGGCAUUGAGGGUUUGGAAAGAAAUGUUAAAGAAAUAGUGGAUACAUGAAAGAUAUCGAGUUUUAGUGACAAUCUUUUAAACUUUUUUGUUUUAGAGGGCUGAUCCUGUGUUAAUGUUUAAAUAUGAUGGCAUUUGAUAGCAAACUACUAGUUCAGUUUUUUAUUAGGUAGCUUUUAUUAGGCUAUAUAAUGUUUUUUGCAUUGAGAUAUGACAUAUGUCAAAUUAAUUAUUAUUGUUAAGGGUGUGCAAAGGUUCAAACUCUAUUUGAUAUCCAGAUUUUUUUUCCAUUGGUCACAUAUCUAAGGAUGGAAAAUGUACCUUUUUUUCUUUUUGAUUUAUCAAAUUUGAGUUUUUUUAUUUUAUUAUUAUUUUUUUGCUUAUUUGGUAGGUCUGAGUCUAUACUUGUACAGAAAGUGGUCGAAAAUAUUUUGGAGAUAUUGAAUGAGGAAUCUCUUCCAAUUGAAAACAAGAACCUAGUUGGAGUAGAUUCUAGAAUCGAGUAUAUUGAAUGGCAACUAUUCAUUGGGUUUCCUGGUCUUCGCAAGAUAGGAAUUUGGGGUAGUGGUGGAAUAGGUGAGACCACACUUGCUGGUGCUGUAUUCAAUAAAAUCUCUAGACAUUUUGAAAGCUCUUACUUUGUUAAAAAUAUUAGAGAAGAAUCAGAGAAAAGCAAGGGACUAAUUAAGUUGCACAAACAACUUAUUUGUGCAAUUUUAAGGAUAAACAUACCAAUAUAGGGUCCUCCUUCAUCAGAAAAAGGCUUGCCUGCUAGAAAGUUGUCAUUGUUUUUGAUGAUAUGACAGAUGUAAAGCAAAUAGAAUAUUUAUUGGAAAUUUUGAGUAUUUUGGUUCUAGAAGUCGAUUCAUGAUAAUGACAAGAGAUAAACGAGUAUUAGAAAAAUGUGAAGUGGAUUACAUAUAUGAGAUUGGAAUAUUAUUUGAUGAUGUUAGCUUUGGAAUUGUUUAGUCGAUACGCCUUUAGACAAAACCUUCCCCCAAAAGAUUUUACAGUUUUCCAAAUUUGUUACUGAAUGGAACUGACGCAGGCUUGCAGGUCCUAAAAGAAGCGAGUAUCACUUGAGUGAAACUUGGAGGUUGAAAUCUUCUUAUAUAAAAGGUAACUUAGGUUCAAACCCAUGAGCUUAUUAUAGUAGGUUGGAACAAGUUGAUAGGAUAACCUUUUACAUCCCCAUAUCUCUCCAAUGGUAAAAUGUAAAAAAAUGACUUAUGCAAAUUCUGCGCAGCGUGUUAGGAAAUUCAAGGCUUUGCACUCCAUCAUUUAUGGGGUUUCUUGUUUGCCUGAUCUAGAAGAUAUGCCAAAUCUUGGAACUCUCUAUGGUAUUCUGUAUAGUUGUGGUGGUGUCCUGCAUAAUAGUUCAAUGGUUUCAAGGUAAAGUUUACAUUUUGUUGCCUUCUGAAGCUAGCUUUCUGCAAUUUAUAUUGGUCAUUAUAUUUGGUUUGUCUUGUUUUGCAUUACUAUAUAUUUGGGUGAAUCCAUGCCAUGCCCUCUAUGUUCUGCAAUUUGAAGUGCUAUUAUUACUUAAUAUCAAGCAUUCAUCUGGUGAAGGCAUAGUCAUCUUUUUUCUUUCAUAUAAAAAACUCAUUGCCUCAGUGUGUGAGGGACAUUUGAUAAUUUCUUCUCUGAGGAGGAUAAAAGGCCAAAUUGAGGCAGCAGCCCAUCCCAUGCAUAUUGUGUUACAUCAGAUGACUGAAAGGAAAGCAAAAAGCUGCAAAAACACGCCAAACUGUUUAUCAUAUAAGGAAAUAUUCCUCAUGGUGUAGGACUAACAAGAUUAUUACUCUGCUGUGGGAAGAAGCUAACCAAGUAAUGAAAGAAGUUCAAGCUGACCAACAAUGGAAGACAAUACCACCUGCUUUGUUCAGAAUUGCAAAAUUGACAGUGAUUGUUUCAGUCUUGCUUGGUCUCUGGUGCACACACUAAUGAUAACCUUUUAGCUGGCCAGUGGACACAUUGUGAUGGAUGUCAUUCUGAAAUUCUCUGGAUUUUCUUCCCUGGAAUUCGGAUUAUGUUGCUGAACUAUUUAAUUAGAUAUGUUAGAUGAAGGCUACUGCUGUAUAAUCUUUUACUGCUGGAUGCUUUCUGUGUUGUGAUUCAACGUAAUUACUAUCUGAUAGUUGGUGAUGUUUGGUUUUCUAGGCAGUGAAAUGAUGUUGAUUGCUGUUUCUACUCUUGUAAGCUGCUACUAUUUGGGUACUUGUUUUCUGUGUGAAACUCUAGUUGUUUUU